GCCCCGGUAGCCCAACGGUAGAGGCGACGGACUCAAAACCCGUACAGUGUGGGUUCGAAUCCCACCUGGGGCA
Segniliparus rugosus ATCC BAA-974 is the source of this 73-nucleotide transfer RNA. It matches the Rfam family "tRNA". Rfam says of the family: Transfer RNA (tRNA) molecules are approximately 80 nucleotides in length. NCBI's taxonomy places the organism in Bacteria, Bacillati, Actinomycetota, Actinomycetes, Mycobacteriales, Segniliparaceae. The record is from Rfam.